AUGAGUAAAGUGGCGCACGGGUGAGUAACACGUGGAUGAUCUACCCUUUAGUGGGGAAUAACCCUGGGAAACCGGGGCUAAUACCGCAUAAGUCCGAGAGGAGAAAGCCGAAAGGCGCUGGAGGAAGAGUCCGCGGUCGAUUAGCUAGUUGGCGGGGUAAAAGCCCACCAAGGCUGCGAUCGAUAGCCGGCCUGAGAGGGCACACGGCCACACUGGCACUGAAACACGGGCCAG
This 234-nucleotide ribosomal RNA is filed under the name uncultured bacterium. Its description in RNAcentral is "partial 16S ribosomal RNA". It matches the Rfam family "Bacterial small subunit ribosomal RNA", at positions 86 to 334 of the family's 1533-position model. The record is from RNAcentral.